RNAcentral lists this ribosomal RNA (402 nucleotides) under Anoxybacillus flavithermus. RNAcentral describes it as "partial 23S ribosomal RNA". It matches the Rfam family "Bacterial large subunit ribosomal RNA", at positions 79 to 473 of the family's 2925-position model. The record is from RNAcentral. Lineage: Bacteria; Bacillati; Bacillota; Bacilli; Caryophanales; Anoxybacillaceae.
CGGGGGGCUGUAAGUAAGCGUUGAUCCGGAGAUUGCCGAAUGGGGGAACCCACUGUACGUAAUGGGGCAGUAUCCAUACGGGAAUCCAUAGCGUAUGGAGGGAAUACCCGGGGAACUGAAACAGCUAAGUACCCGGAGGAGAAGAAAGCAAAAGCGAUUCCCGAAGUAGCGGCGAGCGAAACGGGAACAGCACAAACCAAGAGGCUUGCCUCUUGGGGUUGUAGGACAAUCAAUACGGAGUGACAAAGGAAUGGAGUAGACGAAGCGGUCUGGACAGGCCCGCCAGAGGAGGUAACAGCCCUGUAGUCGAAACUUCGUUCCCUACUGAGUGGAUCCUGAGUACGGCGGGACACGAGGAAUCCCGUCGGAAGCAUGGAGGACCAUCUCCCAAGGCUAACUACA